GAUCCUGGCUCAGGACGAACGCUGGCGGCGUGCUUAACACAUGCAAGUCGAACGCUGAAGCUCAGCUUUUGUUGGGUGGAUGAGUGGCGAACGGGUGAGUAACACGUGAGUAACCUGCCCUCUUCUUUGGGAUAACGCCCGGAAACGGGUGCUAAUACUGGAUAUUCACUGAUCUUCGCAUGGGGGUUGGUGGAAAGGUUUGUUCUGGUGGGGGAUGGGCUCGCGGCCUAUCAGCUUGUUGGUGGGGUG
This 249-nucleotide ribosomal RNA is filed under the name uncultured bacterium. RNAcentral's name for it is "partial 16S ribosomal RNA". It matches the Rfam family "Bacterial small subunit ribosomal RNA", at positions 15 to 259 of the family's 1533-position model. The record is from RNAcentral.